Long non-coding RNA from Myxocyprinus asiaticus (Chinese sucker), 3820 nucleotides. RefSeq lists it as uncharacterized. Lineage: Eukaryota; Metazoa; Chordata; Actinopteri; Cypriniformes; Catostomidae. The transcript has 2 exons. The record is from RefSeq and is a predicted model, not a curated record.
CCACUCACACAAAAACACAUAAGAGAAACAAAACGUGCACUCUUACAAUCAUCUAUAAUAGAAUCACUAUAAAGUGAACUUUGUCAUAUGGUCUAAUAAAUACUGUAUGAAUAGUAAUUAAUUAACAGUAGAUCAUCAUCCAUCAAUAGUAGAUCAUCAGUAAUUUCUUGUCAAUUGUCAUGUGACUUCUUUUAUAACAUUCGCAUUAAUAAUGUGAAUUAAGUCCAAAUAAAUGUAAUUAGUCUGUAAACAGUAGUGGUGAUAUUUGGCUCCGCUAAAAUACUCUUAUGUGAAUAUUCACCAAAAUAAGCUUUUUCUUGCCUAUACAUUCACCAGAUGAACAGUUUUGGCCACAGAGAAACACAGAAGAUUCUAUGAAACAAUUAUCGGCACCAAAUAAUCGGUAAAACCGAUAUAUCGGUCAACCUUUACUAUAAAGCAAACAAUGUCAUAUAGGCUAAUAAAUACUGUAUGAGCAGUAAUUCUUUAAAAGAAGGUAAUCAGCAAUAGUUUGUCAUGAUUGUUAUUUUGUAUUUAUAUAAAAACAAAAACAAACAUUUCCUUUUUUAACUGUGGACAACAUCAGUCAAAAUCAAGAAAAUUACCAUGAAAUUAUGAAAACAUUCACCAAAUUAAGCUUUUUGUAGCUUAUACAUUCACCAGAUGAAGGGUUUUGGCCACAGAGGAAUCAAGAAAAAAAAUUACUGGCACCGAUUAAUCUGUAAAACCGAUAUAUCGGUUUUAUAUCGGUUAACCUCUACUAUAAAGUGAACAUUAUCACAUAGGCUAUUAAAUACUGUAUGAUCAGUAAUUCAUUAAAAGUAGAUAAUCAGCAAUAUUAUAUAAAAACAAACCUUUUUCUCUGUGGACAAUAUCAGUCAAAAUCAAGACAAAUCCCACUUAUGAUUAACUUAUGUCUGCUCCACAAUAAAACCACUUUGGAGCACUCGUUUUUUAUAACAUUACUUUAACAAAUUGGACCCCUCAUUGGACAGAGUGUUCCUCCACUACACGGAGUGGUGGUGGCAUGGUGGACUAAAGCACUGAACUGAUAAGCAGAAGGUUGUUGGUUCAAUCCCCACAGCCACCACCAUUGUGUCCUUGAGCAAGGCACUUAACUCCAGGUUGCUCCAGGGGGACUAUCCCUGUAAUAAGGGCACUAUUAGUCACUUUGGAUAAAAGCAUCUGCCAAAUGCAUAAAUGUAAACACAGAGAAAAAACUAUCAGCAACUAUAGGUGUUGAUUCAUUCUGAUAACCUAUAGUUCAAAAAAGCAACUAUCAUUUAAAAUAAGAGUCCCUGGUGUGUUUCAGACAUGUUUAUACCUAAAAGUCCCGUGUUAUGCACCAGAUCUUAAUUUUUUAUGGUUUUUAUUGGGAUUUUGGUUGAACAAAAAACUGCAUCUGGGAUUUUAGUCAUUUUGGACUCUUUGUCUUUGCCUGCCAUAGUAAAGAAAAAAUUAUUAUUUGUUUUGACAAAAAACUAAUAGUUAUCGGCAUUUUCCACCACCUUUGUUAUCGGUAUCGGCAAGUUCCACUAUCGGUCUACAUCUAAUGUGAAUAUUUACAUAUAUAUACAGGCAAAUGACCUUUAUUAAGGUUAAUUCAAUUUUGCCUAUAUAUAGUGGCUAAUGGACAUUAAUUAGACCUUUGAUUAUUGUAGUGGCUAAUGGCCUUCAUUAAGGCUUAAAACUGUAGAAUGUCUAUGUGAAGUGUCUAAUGCACAUUAAAAAGGGUUAAAGCUAGGCUUAAAACUUAUCCCAGGUUACGUGUUAUGUAAAAGCCUUUUCAAUAUUUACAGUUCAAUAAUUUUGGUGUAUUUUGCUUUUAAAAAUACAUCAAGGUAAAACCAGCGAUCUUCGACCUGCUGCUCCCUGUAUGUAUCGCAUCUUAUCUUGGAGUGCUGUAUCACACUGUACAGAAUUUUGGACUUCUGUACAGUUUCCUGUGCAGAGUCACUGCACCUCGGGUCAAACAACACUAACGUAUGACUUCUGUCUCUUCUAACACCUGCAAUAUGAGGGGUCUCAGGGGUCCCACAGCAGAGCCAAGAGUGUGUUUGGAUUCUUUAUAUAAUGUUUGUUUGUGUGUUUGUUUGAUUACUUUUCUGAGAAUGAAAGUCAAUUAUCAUGCCAAGCGUUUCAUCCACUGCAUCCUUUCGAGUCUUCCCGGUCACAACACUUCCUCAUUCCCACUGUGUCCUGCGUCAUUAAAGCAGCUGUUCACCCAAAAAUGACAAUUCUGCCAUUUACUCCAUUUACACCAUUCCUCAUGUCAUUCAGAUUUGGAACGACUUAAAAAAGAUGACAUUUUUGGGUGAACUACGCCUUUAAAAAAUACAAUGCGUAAUUGUUCAAAUGGCGUCACUUAGUCGAACACUGAAUGUAAGAACUGGCUAAGUGUCGAGCUUUACGGUUGUCCAGUGGGUUUUUCGAUGCUAUCAUUAACUUCCAAAAUCAAUUACGGAUUGUGCUUUUAAGCAGUGUUUCCUGAAAGCAUUGGGUAUCUUCACUGGCAGCUACUACAGAGUGGGCCAAAUCAUGCUGUGGGUUGAGUCGAAGUGUUCAUAAGUCUGUUGACGCGAGUUUCAACUCAUUUUGAUGCAAAACCAGAACUGCUGAUUCUCUUUAAAGCGAGUAUUAAAUGUUGAUAAUGUGACGCAUGGAGAAUGGCAUUUCAUGUUUUUCUUAACUUUAUCUUGAUAUUAGAAAGCCUCUGAGACGAUUCGAAUAACGUUUUUCUUUGGUCUGUUUGCAGAUUCUUUUUAUCCUAAUUUUUUUUUCUCUCUUGUAUAAUAUGAAUGAACUAUUCUUGAGUGCAGUUCUUCUACAGAUGUUUUAUAACUCGAUUUCUAUCGUAUAACGAUUUCUUUACGAAUGCUAAUUCCAUCUGAAGUCCAGUUCUGCUUUAGCCAUUUAUCUGAAAGCGGUAUGGUACAAAUGUGCUGUUAUUUAUGGAAGCUAAUAACACUUCAAUUUGCACUGAUUUAAAAUCUUUUGCUCUCCAAAUGUAACUUUUCGAACUGCACAAACCAGAGGUACACAAACUUGAAUUUUGGGGCAAAAGACAAAUAAAGCCAUUUGUUGAAAUAAGUAAAUAUUGCAGUUGUUUUAUUUGAACAGGUUUUAUUGAAUGGAAAAACAUGAUUCAGCACAGUUGGUUCAGUUCACUAAUUCAGUUGGAAUUAUUAAAAUUGUUCCAUUACAAAAGAUAUAAUGCCUUUUACACUCCUAGUGGUCAGACCGAAAUCAACAGCAAAAAAACAAAAAAAAUAUUUGAAAGGAUAAAUGGUCCAAGAUAAUUGUCAAAAUAACCUUUUGCCCAUGUUAAAAGUUGUCUGUAUAAAUCCCCCGGCUACCACAUUUGUUUUUUAAAUAUUUUAUACAGAACAAUAGAAACAAUAAUAAGAAAUUACAGUGCAAUUUUAAUUAAAUAACAUUGGGAUAACCCCAGAUCUAUUACAACAUACCCCACACAAUUUCUCUGGAUAUUUCAAACUCAAAUAUUUUUGUUUAUAUUAUAAUAUUAUAACCAGCAGUUCAAUAUUUUUGGCACGUUCCUAAAGUAUUAACACUCGGAAUAUUUUUAGUGCAAUACACAUAUUUCCACUCUUCACACUUAAAGGAAUAUUCCGGUUUCAAUACAAGUCGAGUUAAUCAACAGCAUUUUUGACGUAAUGUUGAGACCACAAAAAUCGUUUUAGCUCGUCCCUCGUUUUCUUCAAAAAAAUCUAAAAUCGAGGUUACAGUGGGACACUUACAAUGGAAGUCAAUGGGGUAAUUUUUGGAGGGUUUAAAGGCAGAAAUGUGAAGCGUAUAAUUU